This 46-nucleotide non-coding RNA is filed under the name Trichobilharzia regenti. The record is from RNAcentral. Lineage: Eukaryota; Metazoa; Platyhelminthes; Trematoda; Strigeidida; Schistosomatidae.
GUACCUCUGAGGAGUCCUAAACUAGGACGAAACAGCUGUCCAGUAC